This 301-nucleotide ribosomal RNA is filed under the name uncultured bacterium. RNAcentral's name for it is "partial 16S ribosomal RNA". It matches the Rfam family "Bacterial small subunit ribosomal RNA", at positions 509 to 807 of the family's 1533-position model. The record is from RNAcentral.
CAGCCGCCGCGGUAAUACGGAGGGUGCAAGCGUUAAUCGGAAUUACUGGGCGUAAAGCGCACGCAGGCGGUCUGACAAGUCAGAUGUGAAAUCCCCGGGCUUAACCUGGGAACUGCAUUUGAAACUGUCAGGCUGGAGUCUUGUAGAGGGGGGUGGAAUUCCAGGUGUAGCGGUGAAAUGCGUAGAGAUCUGGAGGAAUACCGGUGGCGAAGGCGGCCCCCUGGACAAAGACUGACGCUCAGGUGCGAAAGCGUGGGGAGCAAACAGGAUUAGAUACCCCCGUAGUCCAUGUCUCUUAUAC